CCUACGGGAGGCAGCAGGGAGGAAUAGUGGUCAAUGGACGAGAGUCUGAACCAGCCAAGUAGCGUGAAGGAUGACUGCCCUAUGGGUUGUAAACUUCUUUUAUAAAGGAAUAAAACGAGGCACGUGUGCCGUUUUGCAUGUACUUUAUGAAUAAGGAUCGGCUAACGCCGUGCCAGCAGCCGCGGUAAUACGGAGGAUCCGAGCGUUAUCCGGAUUGAUUGGGGUUAAAGGGAGCGUAGAUGGGUUGUUAAGUCAGUGGUGAAAGUUUGCGGCUCACCCGUAAAAUUGCAAUUGAUACUGGCAGCCUUGAUUACAGUUGCGGUCGGCGGCAUUCGUGGUGUAGCUGUGACCUGCUUCGAUAUCACGCAGAACUCCGAUUGCGCAGGCCGCUUACUACACUGCCACUGCCAUUGAUGCUCG
RNAcentral lists this ribosomal RNA (420 nucleotides) under uncultured bacterium. Its description in RNAcentral is "partial 16S ribosomal RNA". It matches the Rfam family "Bacterial small subunit ribosomal RNA", at positions 338 to 755 of the family's 1533-position model. The record is from RNAcentral.